AUGAACGCUGGCGGCGUGCCUAAUACAUGCCAGUCGCGCGAACAGACGAGGAGCUUGCUCCUCUGACGUUAGCGGCGGACGGGUGAGUAACACGUGGAUAACCUACCUAUAAGACUGGGAUAACUUCGGGAAACCGGAGCUAAUACCGGAUAAUAUAUUGAACCGCAUGGUUCAAUAGUGAAAGACGGUUUUGCUGUCACUUAUAGAUGGAUCCGCGCCGCAUUAGCUAGUUGGUAAGGUAACGGCUUACCAAGGCAACGAUGCGUAGCCGACCUGAGAGGGUGAUCGGCCACACUGGAACUGAGACACGGUCCAGACUCCUACGGGAGGCAGCAGUAGGGAAUCUUCCGCAAUGGGUGAAAGCCUGACGGAGCAACGCCGCGUGAGUGAUGAAGGUCUUCGGAUCGUAAAACUCUGUUAUUAGGGAAGAACAAAUGUGUAAGUAACUAUGCACGUCUUGACGGUACCUAAUCAGAAAGCCACGGCUAACUACGUG
This 496-nucleotide ribosomal RNA is filed under the name uncultured bacterium. RNAcentral's name for it is "partial 16S ribosomal RNA". It matches the Rfam family "Bacterial small subunit ribosomal RNA", at positions 29 to 507 of the family's 1533-position model. The record is from RNAcentral.